UACAGGAGGCCCGCGCGUUAAUCGGAAUCGCUGGGCUUAAAGGGUGCGUAGGCGGGCCAGCAAGUGUACCGUGAAAUCCCCCGGCUCAACCGGGGAAUUGCGGCGCAGACUGCGGGCCUUGAGGAAGCUAGGGGUCGCUGGAACGCUCGGUGGGGCGGUGAAAUGCGUUGAGAUCGAGCGGAACGCCGAUGGUGAAGACAGGCGACUGGGGCUUUCCUGACGUUGAGGCACGAAAGCGUGGGGAGCAAACAGG
This 253-nucleotide ribosomal RNA is filed under the name uncultured bacterium. Its description in RNAcentral is "partial 16S ribosomal RNA". It matches the Rfam family "Bacterial small subunit ribosomal RNA", at positions 524 to 776 of the family's 1533-position model. The record is from RNAcentral.